This 413-nucleotide long non-coding RNA is filed under the name Malus domestica (apple). RNAcentral's name for it is "long non-coding RNA (MDOM_LNC018489)". The record is from RNAcentral. Lineage: Eukaryota; Viridiplantae; Streptophyta; Magnoliopsida; Rosales; Rosaceae.
AUAAAUCACCUUUCUGCGUAUGCAUAAAGGAUUCAAUUUACGCAUUAUUUCUUUGGGAGUCAAAGGGUAGACUCCCUUUGAGAAGGGCAACUUGCUAGUCUCACUAGAAUCGUCCUUCUUAUUGAAGUUUAUCAUUAUAUGAGAAACUUCCUAGCAUCCAUUGUCUAUUAUUAGGGAUUGAUAUAAUCCAAUUAUAUAAUGAAAUAUAUCAUUAUAGAUUUCCAUCCCAUGUAUAUAGACCAUAUCUCCCAUAUACAUUCUAUCUUCAUAUAAUGUAUUAAAGUCAUAACUUUAACGAAGAAGCAUUCUUUUCAUUUCCAAAAUUAAUAUAUAUAUAUUUAAAUUUUAGGAACAUGAUUAACUCCCACUAAUCUUUUGUAAAACUCGUAAACAAAAGAUUCAUUUACAUCUUG